UACAGAGGUCUCAAGCGUUGUUCGGAAUCACUGGGCGUAAAGGGUGCGUAGGUGGCGUGGUAAGUCAGAUGUGAAAGCCCGAGGCUCAACCUCGGAAUUGCAUCCGAUACUACCAUGCUAGAGUACUGAAGAGGUGACUAGAAUUCUCGGUGUAGCAGUGAAAUGCGUAGAUAUCGAGAGGAAUACCAAAGGCGAAGGCAGGUCACUGGGCAGUUACUGACACUGAGGCACGAAGGCUAGGGGAGCAAACGGG
This 253-nucleotide ribosomal RNA is filed under the name uncultured bacterium. RNAcentral describes it as "partial 16S ribosomal RNA". It matches the Rfam family "Bacterial small subunit ribosomal RNA", at positions 524 to 776 of the family's 1533-position model. The record is from RNAcentral.